Molecule: long non-coding RNA, 367 nt
Organism: Sphaerodactylus townsendi
Lineage: Eukaryota; Metazoa; Chordata; Lepidosauria; Squamata; Sphaerodactylidae
Exons: 3
Source: RefSeq, a predicted model, not a curated record
GCAUCAGGAGAAGGCAUCCAGGACAGGAGGAAACAAUAUUGUCUUGUGAAGGUGAGCCCACAGCAGACUGCCAACAUGUGUAACACGGAUUGUGUUUUCAAUGCGCUACGGUCCGUACUGCAGGUAGUUAAGCGCAUCUAUGAUAAGGCAAAAGAUCUGUACGACAGCCCCUUUGCGCCACCCAAGGCCUCUGAGCCACCCAAGCGAGAAUGAAAUCUGCUUGUGUACUUUUUCGACGGAUUCCACCAUGUCUUCUCUUCCCACGCUGGCAAUGUGCUGAGAGGUUACCUCUUACUAUCAAAUGUUGUUGUUUUUUCGAUAUGUUCGUAAAAUUCCAAAGGCAAAUAAAGCUUGUUUGGAUCUGAAA